This 1081-nucleotide long non-coding RNA is filed under the name Anolis carolinensis (green anole). RNAcentral's name for it is "lncRNA (ENSACAG00000033375.2)". Lineage: Eukaryota; Metazoa; Chordata; Lepidosauria; Squamata; Anolidae. The record is from RNAcentral.
CAAAUAGGAAGAAGAUGGAGAGGAAAUGUUCUUCAGCUAGCUGUAUUUCUUGUGUUCAACUCUGCAGGAAAUCCUGGCAAAAUUUCAAUUGCUCUGUUCUUAGAGAGCCCAUCACCUUAUUGCAGUGAGUGCCCAACACAACAUGUUUGGUCCAGACUCCUUCUUCCUUGAGGGUUCCUAUAACAGAAAUGCCAGGCUCUGGACAUCGGAAGCGAAAUUUUUGAGCACCUUUGGGCAGGAAAACAGGUGGCACUCGAAAAAGUCCUCACCAGGAACCUACUCUACCCCAUGGAAUCAUAUCCAAGGUGAAAGGAAAGAUAAUAAAAAGAAGAGGGUGUCAACCAAGCAGUCGUUAUUUGGGGAUGGCCAACUCUUCAAUCCCAGUGAACCCCUCAGAUAUACAGAGCAAGAAGCUGUUGAGACCUCAAAACAGGCGAGCAGUCACAGAGGAAGUGCCAAGAACAGCGAGAGGGAGCCUAAGCAUCCACGAGAACCUCAGUUACCCAGAAUUGAUCAGCCUCAACAGAGACCUCGCAGUCAGGCUCCUUCUGAGGACACAGUGCAAAAUCGGGUGACAACCCCAUACCUGAGCAGUGUCCUAAACCAAAGAAAGUACGAGAGCAUUUUCAAACGCAAUCUUGAAGAAGGACUCCUGAAAAGAAUAGCAAGACGAAAAGUCCGUCGGCGUGUGUUUGGAGAAAUUGAUGCCAAAAAGGUCAACCAGUUUGGGACUGCCUGCUCACCUUUUCGUGCCCUUGCAACUACAGAGAUGGAGACUUUCACUUUACCCAGCAACUUACCCAUGACAUCACGGAUGGUGAGCAGGGGACUGGUUUGCACAACAGAGUCCGACUUAAAAACAAUGAAACUCACCUUCCCAGAAGUAGAAGAAGAGAAUGCUGAAGAGACCAAGCCAAGUGACAAGAAGAAUGCCCUGGACCAGACCAAAAAGUCUAUGCUGCCUCCAUUGCUUCAUCCAACGAGAUCACGGCUCUCUGAAAAUAAGAAGACUUCAGGUUUCCGCCUUCCUUCUGUUCCCAUAGUAAAGGCAUCUACAUCAUUAAAGUGGGGAAAGUACUAA